GCGGCUGUAGUAUAGUGGCAAUACGCGAGCUUCCCAAGCUUGAGCGGAGGGUUCGAUUCCCUCCAGCCGCACCA
RNAcentral lists this transfer RNA (74 nucleotides) under Puniceicoccales bacterium. RNAcentral describes it as "tRNA-Gly". It matches the Rfam family "tRNA". From Rfam's summary of the family: Transfer RNA (tRNA) molecules are approximately 80 nucleotides in length. Their secondary structure includes four short double-helical elements and three loops (D, anti-codon, and T loops). Further hydrogen bonds mediate the characteristic L-shaped molecular structure. tRNAs have two regions of fundamental functional importance: the anti-codon, which is responsible for specific mRNA codon recognition, and the 3' end, to which the tRNAs corresponding amino acid is attached (by aminoacyl-tRNA synthetases). tRNAs cope with the degeneracy of the genetic code in two manners: having more than one tRNA (with a specific anti-codon) for a particular amino acid; and 'wobble' base-pairing, i.e. permitting non-standard base-pairing at the 3rd anti-codon position. The record is from RNAcentral. Lineage: Bacteria; Pseudomonadati; Verrucomicrobiota; Opitutia; Puniceicoccales.